RNAcentral lists this ribosomal RNA (88 nucleotides) under Bdellovibrio sp. RNAcentral describes it as "partial 16S ribosomal RNA". It matches the Rfam family "Bacterial small subunit ribosomal RNA", at positions 1 to 85 of the family's 1533-position model. The record is from RNAcentral. Lineage: Bacteria; Pseudomonadati; Bdellovibrionota; Bdellovibrionia; Bdellovibrionales; Pseudobdellovibrionaceae.
UUUUAACUGGAGAGUUUGAUUCUGGCUCAGAACAAACGCUGGCGGCGUGCCUAAUACAUGCAAGUCGAACGAGGAAAGCUUUCGGGUG